CUGGCAGUGGAGGCAAGUGUCUUGCUGGAGCUCCCUGCAGAAAUGAAGCUUUCUGAAGCUUGUGUUUUUCCCCCAUACAUUUGACCUGCUGCCUACCAAGUACUUCAUAUGGAUAUUCGUACCCAGAGCAGUCCCAGUCGUGUGAGUGGCCUUUUCUCAGCACAGGAAAGUACAAAGACAUCUGCUGGCAUGGAAUACCACAUGGAAGAGAUUUUCCAGAGGUCUCCAGCACAGCCUUAGUGCCCGCAGCUUUUUGUUGAAUCUCAGAAAGCCCACGCGUCCUGAAAAAUAGGGAUGGCACCAGCUUGCUUCAGCAUCUCUAUUCCUCAUACAGCAGUGAGAAUGUUUGCUAUCUUCUUAAGUGCAUCUGGACAACUGUGUUUUGAAUUCAGAGCAGAAAGGAUUUUCCCAAAUAUUUUCUUGCCUCACAAACACUCUGUAUCCAAAAGUGCCUGCAUCCUUUAGAUCAUUCUCGUUGUCAAACUGUGAGCAAUUUGGGAGUACUAUUUUUACCACUGCUAACUGGUUCUGAGCAGAGACUUGAAGGCCAGUUCCAGCACAUAGCCAAACAGCAGCAGGCUGCUGAUCCCAAGGAACCCUGAGAAGGAAUGCUCUUCGCCAUCCCCAAGGCAGGCUGCUUU
Molecule: long non-coding RNA, 641 nt
Organism: Numida meleagris (helmeted guineafowl)
Lineage: Eukaryota; Metazoa; Chordata; Aves; Galliformes; Numididae
Exons: 4
Source: RefSeq, a predicted model, not a curated record